RNAcentral lists this ribosomal RNA (520 nucleotides) under uncultured Pseudomonadota bacterium. RNAcentral describes it as "bacterial SSU rRNA". It matches the Rfam family "Bacterial small subunit ribosomal RNA", at positions 360 to 896 of the family's 1533-position model. Lineage: Bacteria; Pseudomonadati; Pseudomonadota. The record is from RNAcentral.
AAUAUUGGACAAUGGGCGAAAGCCUGAUCCAGCAAUGCCGCGUGAGUGAUGAAGGCCUUAGGGUUGUAAAGCUCUUUUACCCGGGAUGAUAAUGACAGUACCGGGAGAAUAAGCUCCGGCUAACUCCGUGCCAGCAGCCGCGGUAAUACGGAGGGAGCUAGCGUUGUUCGGAAUUACUGGGCGUAAAGCGCGCGUAGGCGGUUUUUUAAGUCAGAGGUGAAAGCCCAGUGCUCAACACUGGAACUGCCUUUGAAACUGGAAAACUUGAAUCUUGGAGAGGUCAGUGGAAUUCCGAGCGUAGAGGUGAAAUUCGUAGAUAUUCGGAAGAACACCAGUGGCGAAGGCGACUGACUGGACAAGUAUUGACGCUGAGGUGCGAAAGCGUGGGGAGCAAACAGGAUUAGAUACCCCGGUAGUCCUAGCUGUAAACGAUGUGGACUGGGCGUCGGUGGGGUAAAAUCCGCCGGUGCCGCAGCUAACGCGCUAAGUCCACCGCCUGGGGACUACGGCCGCAAGGUUA